CCUACGGGAGGCAGCAGUGGGGAAUCUUGCGCAAUGGGCGGAAGCCUGACGCAGCGACGCCGCGUUCGGGACGAAGGCCUUCGGGUCGUAAACCGCUUUCAGCAGAGACGAGGCCCUCACGGUGACGAUACCUGCAGAAGACGCACCUGCUACCUACGUGCCAGCAGCCGCGGUAAUACGUAGGGGGCGAGCGUUAGCCGGAUUCAUUGGGCGUAAAGCGCGCGUAGGCGGCCUGUUAGGUCGUGGGGCAAAUACCGGGGCUCAACCCCGGUCCGCCCCCGAUACUGGCAGGCUUGAGUAUGGGAGGGGAAGGCGGAAUUCCCAGUGUAGCGGUGGAAUGCGUAGAUAUUGGGAAGAACACCGGCGGCGAAGGCGGCCUUCUGGGCCACGACUGACGCUGAGGCGCGAAAGCGAGGGGAGCGAACAGGAUUAGAUACCCCAGUAGUC
RNAcentral lists this ribosomal RNA (447 nucleotides) under uncultured bacterium. Its description in RNAcentral is "partial 16S ribosomal RNA". It matches the Rfam family "Bacterial small subunit ribosomal RNA", at positions 338 to 795 of the family's 1533-position model. The record is from RNAcentral.